RNAcentral lists this ribosomal RNA (253 nucleotides) under uncultured bacterium. RNAcentral describes it as "partial 16S ribosomal RNA". It matches the Rfam family "Bacterial small subunit ribosomal RNA", at positions 524 to 776 of the family's 1533-position model. The record is from RNAcentral.
UACGGAGGAUCCGAGCGUUAUCCGGAUUUAUUGGGUUUAAAGGGUGCGUAGGCGGUUUGAUAAGUUAGAGGUGAAAUGUCGGGGCUCAACCCCGAAACUGCCUCUAACACUGUUGGACUAGAGAAUAGUUGCGGUAGGCGGAAUGUAUGGUGUAGCGGUGAAAUGCUUAGAGAUCAUACAGAACACCGAUUGCGAAGGCAGCUUACCAAACUAUAUCUGACGUUGAGGCACGAAAGCGUGGGUAGCAAACAGA